ACGGAGACGUCAUGGACUGAUCACACCGCCACGGAAGGUGUCAUGCCUCGGUGCCAAGAGGACAUGCCUGUGGUACCCCCACAGGUGGUUAUAGCUCAGGUAUACCCUAUGGUAUAUUCUAAUAAGGAUAUCAUGUCACAACACAUGCGACACAAUAUCAACACAAAGGGGUUCUAAUAUGUACAUGUUAAACUGAAAUAAUACAUCAACUCAAAGUCCCCAAAAAUACUAACAUGCACAUUACUACAAAUAUCAAAAUAAAUUUAGACAUGUUGUACUAGUCUAAAGAGUACAAAUAUGAGUUCCAACUAUGAAUGCCAAACAAAACUAUCACAAUGAAUUUGACAAGAAAUAAUCAUGAGAGGCAAUACUAAAUUUCAAACCGCAUAACGAAACGAACAAAUCAAAAACAAAAGAGUCUCGCUGAAAGAGUACAGAAUCCGUACCU
RNAcentral lists this long non-coding RNA (448 nucleotides) under Panax ginseng (ginseng). Its description in RNAcentral is "long non-coding RNA (PGIN_LNC011958)". Lineage: Eukaryota; Viridiplantae; Streptophyta; Magnoliopsida; Apiales; Araliaceae. The record is from RNAcentral.